Molecule: transfer RNA, 70 nt
Filed under: Loxodonta africana (African savanna elephant)
Lineage: Eukaryota; Metazoa; Chordata; Mammalia; Proboscidea; Elephantidae
Rfam family: tRNA
About the family: Transfer RNA (tRNA) molecules are approximately 80 nucleotides in length.
Source: Rfam by way of RNAcentral
CUACAUGGUGCAAAGUGUUUGCACUAGACUGCUAACCUAAAGGUUGGUGGUUCAAACCCACCCAGCUGGA